RNAcentral lists this long non-coding RNA (303 nucleotides) under Vigna radiata. RNAcentral's name for it is "long non-coding RNA (VRAD_LNC001931)". The record is from RNAcentral. Lineage: Eukaryota; Viridiplantae; Streptophyta; Magnoliopsida; Fabales; Fabaceae.
UGCAAUAAAAUUGAACCAUUAUCAGAAUCAGUGUACAAGCCAAGCAUAGACACAAACAUAAACUUAACCUAUACUACUAAUUCAAAGUACAAAGAAAAAGAAAAAGAAAAAUCUCUGUCCAAAUGUUGGCAUCCAUCAGUAAAUGCCCUUAGCGCAGAUCCUCAUCUGAAUCAUACUCAUCCUCCUCCUAGGCAUCCUCAAAGUCCUCAUCCUCCCGGUCAUCAUCUUGUCCACCUGAGGUUCUAGCUACUCUAGACCCACUACCCUAUGCUUGCCCUUGAAGCCAAGCCAUCACACUAUGAA